GGAAUUAUGGACACUCUUCUUGCACUUCCUGUUGUGAGUAUAAUAAUAACUUNAGACCAUCAAAUUGUUUUAUCACACUACACACAAUACUCAUUAUAAUAAGCGUAUUAGAAAGUAAAAUGAUCAAAGAAAAUAUGCUUUUCGGCNAGUGAGUUAGUGAAAUAAUACUUGACUUGGAAAGAUUGGAGAAUUAAUGGUUUUUUAUUCUCAUUAACUUACAAGUUUACUCUGAAGUGCUUUUUACAGCAAAGUUUUAUCAUUCUCAUCACUUAUACUUUGGCAGAGUUUUUACUAUGUAUAAACCCCUUAAUAUCAUAUAUCAUAUAUUGAAUACUGCAUCAGCCAGAUUAUAUUAUUCAUACAUACGUGUUAGUUAUCUGAAUUCCAGGAAGCAUUUUACUCACAUUGUGUAUAUAGAUUCCAUUUAUCUAUUUCCAUUCUUGUAGGAAAAACCCUGAACAGAAGAGAACAAUGAGAUAUUGUCCAUACUUGUCAAUAUGGAUUCAAUUUUGAGGAGGCUUGCACAACUAUAGACAAAUGUGGUGUGUUUAGUGUGUAAUUGUUACUCUUAUAUAUGUUAUCAACACAUUUUAAGUUUCUUUUUGUUUUAUUUUCGUCUCUCCAGUAUCAGCCGUAUUAAAUGGUCUAAGAUGGUCAAUUAAAUAAUGAAAAAGGAGAUUUGUCUGGUGAUGGUUCUUAAAUAUUUAUUUUUGAGCAACAUUUGUCAGGUCCUAAAGCGGUGAUCUGGUAGAUUUCAUCANUGCUUUUCAAUUAGAAGAUGAAAUUGACUUGCUUCAAGAUCUGCCUAAAGAUAAACAUGUUGCACCUGUUGAUACAUAGAGGUAUGGUGAGGUUUAUAAUCCUAUGAAAUUAGUUCUGCUUGUAAUUAAAAUAUCAGUAAAGCAAGUAGUUUUUAUCAAAGUUAGUAAUUAAAAUAUUAUUAACUAAUUUUAUAUUAUUUUCUUUUUNGCAGUAUUUUUCUAGUUGAAGACGUCAACAAUAUCUUGACAAUUAAAUCAUUAAAGUUAGGAAAGACUGGUGUUUAUAUGUAAUUAGUAUAUGUUCA
RNAcentral lists this long non-coding RNA (1066 nucleotides) under Vigna radiata. Its description in RNAcentral is "long non-coding RNA (VRAD_LNC014351)". The record is from RNAcentral. Lineage: Eukaryota; Viridiplantae; Streptophyta; Magnoliopsida; Fabales; Fabaceae.